Molecule: long non-coding RNA, 1795 nt
Filed under: Sus scrofa (pig)
Lineage: Eukaryota; Metazoa; Chordata; Mammalia; Artiodactyla; Suidae
Description: lncRNA (ENSSSCG00055011570.1)
Source: RNAcentral
GUUUGUUCACGUGGUGGAAUCCCAAAAGAAGGAGUGGAAGCAUGCAAUGCUUCUUGAGACUUAGACUGAGAACCAGUACACUAUAACUUUCAUCACAUCCUGCUGGCCAAAGCAAAUCCAAAUUCAAGAGGAUCAUGGCGGCCACUGUGUUGGAGAUAGACUAAAAAGGGACAGAGCCAGAAGCAAGGGACCAGCUGGGAGGCCACUCCAACUACACAGCGCCAGAGCCCAUGAAGCGAGGUCAGGUCCUGAUGCUGCUGUGGAUCGAUGGCCCUCGGACGCCCGCGUGAGGCUGCGGCGGCUCAGCAAUUUCCUGCCAUCACUUGCUGUGCACAAAUGAAAUCACUUCCAGUGACCUAAUGCAUGCUGCUGCCACCGAGAAAACUGAAAAAAGAGGUGAAGAGGGAGCCGCAGGAGAAGCCGGGGAGCACAGGUGCUCUCAGGCUGUGUCUCUAGGGUGCAGUGAGACUGGAAGGGCAUUUGCAACCCAGGAAGGCAGCUCGCUGUCCAGAAACACGCCUGCCUCCCUUUGCCCACUUGUGAAGUCAUCAGAAGCUACCUGAGAGCCGAGCAUGGGCUUCUGAGGGGUCUGCAAAGACCCUGAACUUGUCUGCAGGCUUUGGUGUGAGUGUGCAGGUUAUCUGGGAAGAUUUCCCAAAGAAUCUGUGCCCCUCAAAAGGUGGCAUUGCCUUAAAGAGCUGGCAGCUUCCCCUCCGGGUUCCCUGAAUAUCGCCAGAGUGAAUUAGCACUGGGAGCUCCGAGAUGUCCUUGCUGGCAGUGGCCAUGGGUGCUGGUCUAUCCACAGCCCCCUGAAGCCGAAGGUGGAAGGUCAGUCCAGCUGCCUUUCUGCUUCCCUGGACUCCCUGCUGUAGCCCCAGCCCUGGAGCCAGCGUGACCCUGGGGGAAGCCUGCCUCUCACUCCAGAGGCAACCUGGGCCCCGCACAACCAGGGCAGCCCUCCCCCCGAGGGAAGAGAAGUGGGGGAAGGGAAGCCACACUCUGGGAUCAGGCGCAGUGCCCAUCACUUCAGAGCAUCCAUUUACUUCUUACAACACCUGCGACAUGGACCUCAUUGUCCCCAUCUUCGAAAGGGUGAAGCUAAGGCCUGGAGACAUUCACUUGCUCAAGAUUACACUGAGACCUCUCUGUUGGGUCAGGUGUGCAGGCCUGCUGUCCCCAGAGCCAAGGCUUUUCAGCCCCAGGACACAAGAGAUCGUUCGGGGGGGCGGGGGGGGGGGCAGUCUGCGAACCAUUGUGUUAUAGCUGUGGUUCCCCCACAGCAGUGUUUGCUCCCACGGUCCAGCAUUUGCACGUCCUGUUUCCACUGUCUGCGGGUCCCGCUCAGCCACUGUGGACUUGAGAAAAAAUCCACUCGCCUGUCAGCCCUCAGCUCAGCUUUCUUCUGUGCUCGGAAACCCUCUCUGCCCUCCCCCAGCCUCCCCCCCGCCCCCGCAGCCGAUUUCAGUCCUUUCUUCUCAGCUCCCAAAGCACAACACAGACUUUUAUUAAAGGACACAACACGGAGUUCCCGUCGUGGCGCAGUGGUUAGCGAAUCCGACUAGGAACCAUGAGGUUGCAGGUUCGGUCCCUGCCCUUGCUCAGUGGGUUGACGAUCCGGCGUUGCCGUGAGCUGUGGUGUAGGUUGCAGACGCGGCUCGGAUCCAGCGUUGCUGUGGCUCUGGUGUAGGCCGGUGGCUGCAGCUCCGAUUGGACCCCUAGCCUGGGAACCUCCAUAUGCCGCGGGAGCGGCCCAAAGAAAUAACAAAAAGACAAAAAAAAAAAAAAAAAAAAAAAA